This is a non-coding RNA of Triticum aestivum (bread wheat), 126 nucleotides long. Lineage: Eukaryota; Viridiplantae; Streptophyta; Magnoliopsida; Poales; Poaceae. The record is from Rfam.
AAAAUACUUCCUCUGUCUGAAAUUACUUGUCAGAGAAAUUUGAUGUAUCUACAUGUAUUUUAAUUCUAAAUGCAUUCAUUUUUAUUCAUUUUUGCAACAAGCAAGUUCGGACGGAGGGAGUACAAG